UGUUAAAAUUUUUAUCCAUUUAUACUGUUAAAAACUGACGUGACUGACAAAAUAACCGGACAGUGACACAUGACGUGCCAUAUGUACCUCAUGCUAAUGUACAAGACUAGUUUUUAACCGUAAGAAUGAACAGAAUUUUUAAUA
RNAcentral lists this microRNA precursor (144 nucleotides) under Gossypium hirsutum (cotton). Its description in RNAcentral is "MIR7502 microRNA precursor family". It matches the Rfam family "MIR7502 microRNA precursor family". The record is from Rfam by way of RNAcentral. Lineage: Eukaryota; Viridiplantae; Streptophyta; Magnoliopsida; Malvales; Malvaceae. RNAcentral also lists the same sequence under 2 other names.